Molecule: ribosomal RNA, 250 nt
Filed under: uncultured bacterium
Lineage: Bacteria
Description: partial 16S ribosomal RNA
Rfam family: Bacterial small subunit ribosomal RNA
Source: RNAcentral
GUGCCAGCAGCCGCGGUAAUACGAGGGCCCCUAGCGUUAUCCGGAUUUAUUGGGCGUAAAGGGUCCGUAGGCGGCCGGUUGCAUCUUCUGUUAAAUCUUUGGGCUCAACCCGGAGACCGCAGAAGAGAUGGGCUGGCUGGAGGCCGGGAGAGGCAAGCGGAAUUGCUGGUGUAGGGGUUAAAUCCGUUAAUAUCAGCAGGAACACCAAAUGUGAAGACAGCUUGCUAGAACGCGCCUGACGCUCAGGGAC